CCCGAAAGAUCGAACGGGGGAGAUUCAUCGUCAACGAAGCCGGCUUCGACGCGGCUCGCGAUGUCGCGGACCCUGUGUCCACGGCACGCGGUCGCGUCGUUUUUAUGCCCGGCGGCGUUGGCGUGCACUUCUUUCCUAGUAGGACGUCGCGACCCGUUGGGCGUCGGCAUAAGGCCCGAUUGGUAGCCUGUCUCGGCGUUCGCGCCGGGGCAGACCGUCGGUUGCCCGGCCGGCUGCCCGGCGGUACUCGCACGGUAUAGAGCCGCAUCGAACUUGCGCCCAGCCCGUCGCAAGCGCGGCCAGCGAUUCCCGGUGGUCGGACCUAGCGCCGUCCCCGGGCCUGGCCAGCUGUUGGCAGACGGUGUCCUCGGGCGGGCUCACAUUAAAAUACCGGUCGGCGACGCUUUUGCUUUGGGUACUUUCA
This 424-nucleotide ribosomal RNA is filed under the name Conocoxa chalicipoda. RNAcentral describes it as "eukaryotic LSU rRNA". The record is from RNAcentral. Lineage: Eukaryota; Metazoa; Arthropoda; Insecta; Hymenoptera; Pergidae.